This 30-nucleotide small RNA is filed under the name Bombyx mori (domestic silkworm). RNAcentral's name for it is "ovarian small RNA-28659". Lineage: Eukaryota; Metazoa; Arthropoda; Insecta; Lepidoptera; Bombycidae. The record is from RNAcentral.
UCGCCACCCCCGCGGCCAGGGACUGGCCUA